RNAcentral lists this long non-coding RNA (823 nucleotides) under Pomacea canaliculata. RNAcentral's name for it is "uncharacterized LOC112570630, transcript variant X2". The record is from RNAcentral. Lineage: Eukaryota; Metazoa; Mollusca; Gastropoda; Architaenioglossa; Ampullariidae.
GUCAUGGUGAGCAUCACAGCCUGCGGACUGCACGUGACCUGUUGACAUGUGGGUAGAGCAGGUGAACCGCUGUUUGUGUUGUCUUGUCUGUGUUUAUAGGAUGUCGUGGACUCCCUGGUUGACUGAUUAUUUGCUUCUUUUGACACGGGCUGUGUAUGGAACCAACAGGCUCCCCAUCUAUCAUUUGACCAUUUGUCCCUUGGUCACAGCCUCGAGUCGACUGGACUAUGGCCCUGAGUCGAUUUGAUCUCCGGUAUUACAGGAAAGCUUUGGGUCGCUGGACGGUAACAUCACCUGCGAGGUGUGAGUCGCCAGGACAGCACCCACCCCACUGGCGGAGCCACAUCUCAGGUGUAGACAGUCCAACUCGCAGGAAAUGGAGGGAAUCGAACGCGGCUCUGCCCACCCUGGGUACCCAGCAGGGACUGGCGUGUUGUUACAAGUGCUGAAAAUAAAAGACAGGACCUGCUAUGCAAGGCUGUCAUGAUGGCCACCUGAUUGUUUUUAGCACAUGCACAAGCUCUUUAGGAAGAACAUAAAGAGAACAAGAAGGAGGAAUUCUUCAGAUGAGCAGUGAUAGUGCUUUAACUGCAUUGAUACAAUUCUAUCUCAGUGUCUAGUAUCUCUGGCUCAGCUGUAAUAUUUUGUGUGUGUCAAUAAAUAUAGUAAAAUCAUGUUACAAAAUAUUAAACAUAAUAAAUUUGCAAAUUCAGGCAAUUUUUAAAGAAGUUUGUUGAAGUAUUUUCCCAAUAUUCAAUCUACAUAGACUGAAAGAAGUGUAAGUGAAAUGUGCAAAUGUAGAUGUGUCACUGUAUUCUUUUUU